GUCCACGCUGUAAACGAUGAGUACUAGCUGUAUGGGGUAUCGACUCCCUGUGUAGCGAAGCUAACGCGAUAAGUACUCCGCCUGGGGACUACGGCCGCAAGGCUAAAACUCAAAGGAAUUGACGGGGGCCCCGCACAAGCAGCGGAGCGUGCGGUUUAAUUCGAAGCUACGCGAAGAACCUUACCAGGGCUUGACAUGGCGCUGACCGCCGAUGAAAGUCGGUUUCCCUUCGGGGCGGCGUCACAGAUGCUGCAUGGCUGUCGU
This 264-nucleotide ribosomal RNA is filed under the name uncultured bacterium. RNAcentral describes it as "partial 16S ribosomal RNA". It matches the Rfam family "Bacterial small subunit ribosomal RNA", at positions 793 to 1055 of the family's 1533-position model. The record is from RNAcentral.